UUUGAUCAUGGCUCAGAAUGAACGCUGGCGGCGCGCCUAAUACAUGCAAGUCGAGCGAGAAGACGUAGCAAUACGUUUGUAAAGCGGCGAACGGGUGAGGAAUACAUGGGUAACCUACCCUUGAGUGGGGAAUAACUAGCCGAAAGGUUAGCUAAUACCGCGUACGCUUCUUGGACUUCGGUUCAGGGAGGAAAGCGCUACCGUGGGUAGCGCGCUCUUGGAUGGGCUCAUGUCCUAUCAGCUUGUUGGUGAGGUAACGGCUCACCAAGGCUUCGACGGGUAGCUGGUCUGAGAGGACGACCAGCCACACUGGCACUGCGACACGGGCCAGACUCCUACGGGAGGCAGCAGUAAGGAAUAUUGCGCAAUGGGCGAAAGCCUGACGCAGCGACGCCGCGUGGGGGAUGAAGGUCUUCGGAUUGUAAACCCCUUUCGGGAGGGAAGAUGGAAUGGGGUAACCCAUUCGGACGGUACCUCCAGAAGCAGCCACGGCUAACUUCGUGCCAGCAGCCGCGGUAAUACGAAGGUGGCAAGCGUUAUUCGGAUUUACUGGGCGUACAGGGAGCGUAGGCGGUUCGGUAAGCCCUUUGUGAAAUCUCCAGGCUUAACCUGGAACAGUCGGAGGGGACUGCCGGGCUAGAGGACGGGAGAGGAGCGCGGAAUUCCCGGUGUAGCGGUGAAAUGCGUAGAGAUCGGGAGGAAGGCCGGUGGCGAAGGCGGCGCUCUGGAACGUUUCUGACGCUGAGGCUCGAAAGCGUGGGGAGCAAACAGGAUUAGAUACCCUGGUAGUCCACGCCUUAAACUAUGAAUACUAAGUGUCGGCGGGUUACCGCCGGUGCCGCAGCUAACGCAUUAAGUAUUCCGCCUGGGAAAGUACGGCCGCAAGUUGAAACUCAAAGGAAUUGACGGGGCCCGCCACAAGCGGUGGAGCAUG
RNAcentral lists this ribosomal RNA (934 nucleotides) under uncultured bacterium. Its description in RNAcentral is "bacterial SSU rRNA". It matches the Rfam family "Bacterial small subunit ribosomal RNA", at positions 12 to 941 of the family's 1533-position model. The record is from RNAcentral.